AACGAACGCUGGCGGCAUGCCUAACACAUGCAAGUCGAACGAAGGCUUCGGCCUUAGUGGCGCACGGGUGCGUAACGCGUGGGAAUCUGCCCUUUGGUUCGGAAUAACAGCUGGAAACGGCUGCUAAUACCGGAUGAUGACGAAAGUCCAAAGAUUUAUCGUCAGAGGAUGAGCCCGCGUUGGAUUAGGUAGUUGGUGGGGUAAAGGCCUACCAAGCCGACGAUCCAUAGCUGGUCUGGGAGGAUGAUCAGCCACACUGGGACUGAGACACGGCCCAGACUCCUACGGGAGGCAGGAGUGGGGAAUAUUGGACAAUGGGCGCAAGCCUGAUCCAGCAAUGCCGCGUGAGUGAUGAAGGCCCUAGGGUUGUAAAGCUCUUUUACCCGGGAAGAUAAUGACUGUACCGGGAGAAUAAGCCCCGGCUAACUCCGUG
This 433-nucleotide ribosomal RNA is filed under the name uncultured bacterium. RNAcentral's name for it is "partial 16S ribosomal RNA". It matches the Rfam family "Bacterial small subunit ribosomal RNA", at positions 29 to 507 of the family's 1533-position model. The record is from RNAcentral.